Molecule: ribosomal RNA, 1404 nt
Filed under: uncultured bacterium
Lineage: Bacteria
Description: bacterial SSU rRNA
Rfam family: Bacterial small subunit ribosomal RNA
Source: RNAcentral
GCGAUUCCUAGUGAUUAGAGUUUGAUCAUGGCUCAGAUUGAACGCUGGCGGCAUGCCUUACACAUGCAAGUCGAACGGCAGCAUGAUCUAGCUUGCUAGAUUGAUGGCGAGUGGCGAACGGGUGAGUAAUACAUCGGAACGUGCCCUGUAGUGGGGGAUAACUAGUCGAAAGAUUAGCUAAUACCGCAUACGACCUGAGGGUGAAAGUGGGGGACCGCAAGGCCUCAUGCUAUAGGAGCGGCCGAUGUCUGAUUAGCUAGUUGGUGAGGUAAAGGCUCACCAAGGCGACGAUCAGUAGCUGGUCUGAGAGGACGAUCAGCCACACUGGGACUGAGACACGGCCCAGACUCCUACGGGAGGCAGCAGUGGGGAAUUUUGGACAAUGGGGGCAACCCUGAUCCAGCAAUGCCGCGUGUGUGAAGAAGGCCUUCGGGUUGUAAAGCACUUUUGUCCGGAAAGAAAUCGCACUUACUAAUAUUAGGUGUGGAUGACGGUACCGGAAGAAUAAGGACCGGCUAACAACGUGCCAGCAGCCGCGGUAAUACGUAGGGUCCAAGCGUUAAUCGGAAUUACUGGGCGUAAAGCGUGCGCAGGCGGUUGUGCAAGACCGAUGUGAAAUCCCCGGGCUUAACCUGGGAAUUGCAUUGGUGACUGCACGGCUAGAGUGUGUCAGAGGGGGGUAGAAUUCCACGUGUAGCAGUGAAAUGCGUAGAGAUGUGGAGGAAUACCGAUGGCGAAGGCAGCCCCCUGGGAUAACACUGACGCUCAUGCCACGAAAGCGUGGGGGAGCAAACAGGAUUAGAUACCCUGGUAGUCCACGCCCCUAAACGAUGUCAACUAGUUGUUGGGGAUUCAUUUCCUUAGUAACGUAGCUAACGCGUGAAGUUGACCGCCUGGGGAGUACGGUCGCAAGAUUAAAACUCAAAGGAAUUGACGGGGACCCGCACAAGCGGUGGAUGAUGUGGAUUAAUUCGAUGCAACGCGAAAAACCUUACCUACCCUUGACAUGCCACUAACGAAGCAGAGAUGCAUUAGGUGCUCGAAAGAGAAAGUGGACACAGGUGCUGCAUGGCUGUCGUCAGCUCGUGUCGUGAGAUGUUGGGUUAAGUCCCGCAACGAGCGCAACCCUUGUCUCUAGUUGCUACGAAAGGGCACUCUAGAGAGACUGCCGGUGACAAACCGGAGGAAGGUGGGGAUGACGUCAAGUCCUCAUGGCCCUUAUGGGUAGGGCUUCACACGUCAUACAAUGGUGCAUACAGAGGGUUGCCAAGCCGCGAGGUGGAGCUAAUCCCAGAAAAUGCAUCGUAGUCCGGAUCGUAGUCUGCAACUCGACUACGUGAAGCUGGAAUCGCUAGUAAUCGCGGAUCAGCAUGCCGCGGUGAAUACGUUCCCGGGUCUUGUAGA